AACGAACGCUGGCGGCAGGCUUAACACAUGCAAGUCGAACGAGAUCUUCGGAUCUAGUGGCAAGCGGGUGAGGAACACGUGGGAACAUCCCUUUCAGUUCGGAAUAACGUUGGGAAACUAACGCUAAUACCGGAUACGUCCUUCGGGAGAAAGAUUUAUCGCUGAAAGAUUGGCCCGCGUCUGAUUAGCUAGUUGGUGAGGUAAUGGCUCACCAAGGCUACGAUCAGUAGCUGAUCUGAGAGGAUGAUCAGCCACAUUGGGACUGAGACACGGCCCAAACUCCUACGGGAGGCAGCAGUGGGGAAUAUUGGACAAUGGGCGCAAGCCUGAUCCAGCCAUGCCGCGUGAGUGAUGACGGCCUUCGGGUUGUAAAGCUCUUUUGUCCGGGAAGAUAAUGACUGUACCGGAAGAAUAAGCCCCGGCAAACUUCGUGCCAGCAGCCGCCGUAA
RNAcentral lists this ribosomal RNA (449 nucleotides) under uncultured bacterium. RNAcentral describes it as "partial 16S ribosomal RNA". It matches the Rfam family "Bacterial small subunit ribosomal RNA", at positions 29 to 523 of the family's 1533-position model. The record is from RNAcentral.